GCGGUCAUGGCGGAAUUGGCAGACGCGCUACGUUGAGGUCGUAGUCCCGUAAGGGGUGGAGGUUCGAGUCCUCUUGACCGCACCA
RNAcentral lists this transfer RNA (85 nucleotides) under Verrucomicrobiota bacterium. Its description in RNAcentral is "tRNA-Leu". It matches the Rfam family "tRNA". From Rfam's summary of the family: Transfer RNA (tRNA) molecules are approximately 80 nucleotides in length. Their secondary structure includes four short double-helical elements and three loops (D, anti-codon, and T loops). The record is from RNAcentral. Lineage: Bacteria; Pseudomonadati; Verrucomicrobiota.